Scylla paramamosain (green mud crab) is the source of this 1911-nucleotide long non-coding RNA. RefSeq lists it as uncharacterized. The transcript is spliced from 4 exons. Lineage: Eukaryota; Metazoa; Arthropoda; Malacostraca; Decapoda; Portunidae. The record is from RefSeq and is a predicted model, not a curated record.
CCACCCACCUCUCCUCCCCAAGAUAGCUCCCAUACCUAGCCCUGGGCACGCGUCGCAGGGCAGGAAGUCUGUGUUCCUGCCGGGUGUCUCGUGAUGUGGUGUAGAGGCGUCCUGGUAAGGGAUACGUCCUUCGCUGCCAUGUUAGGCGUGUUAGUGGAGUUGCCAUGAAGAGCGGCUGAGAGACCGAUGGAAAGUUCAGCAACCAGUACUACUCAAGCCCCGUGCAGCGGUGACCAGCAGUAAGACGAGAAGCUAAGGGACUGAUCCUCGUGAGUCGUCGCUCCUCGCCUCCCCAACACAGAUCGCUCAACGACCGUAAAAACAGGUAGUACUCGACAGUACUUCAUAUUGAGGAAAACGCGUCCACUGCUUGAGUUUGCCGACUACUCCCCCACUGCUUAUUUUUCUUCCAGUCUUAAUAUGUCUCUUCUCUGUGACUGAUGUGGUUUGAAAGCCAGCCGCUGAUAUGUUCUGGAUUUUUGUGUUACUGUUGUCCUUACGAUUUUAACUCUCCAGUGAGUGUGUCUGUGUUUAAACUCUUGGUGAGAAAGAAAACAAUUAUGCCACGCCACAAGAAUACUAAACAUGCGGCGUGAAAGGAGGUUAAAGAAAAAAAAAGUGGAAAAAAUAUAAUUAUGUGAAAUCACUCAUUAGGUUUUCCUGGGUUUUCUCUUUUGUUUUCUUUGUAAACUUAUUCCUUUGUUACAACUUUUGUUUUAGUCUGUGCUGAAAAUGGUCAGCAUAAUAAAGAAUACCAUAACCAAAACACAGUCAGGUGGUGCAGAGGGGCAGUAUUCCGCAGGCGUGAAUCACAACAGAGUAAUGGAGUUACAAUUCCUGGCAGGGCUGAGACAGUUUGGCUUUGUCACCCUUCUCGCUGUAGUUUCCAUUCACCUGACAGGUAAUAGAUACGAACUAAGUCUAGGACCCACAGUAAUAGUAGUAGUAGCGGAGGUGGUGGCGCCGCUGCCGUUGCAAUCGGGUUAAGGUCUCUUUUGAUUUACCUCUCUUAAAGGUACUAAAAUAGUAAAACACGCAGUUUACCAGUAUGUACGUUAAAGUGUAUAUCAACGUAUUCUUUCUAGUUACAUCACUGACGACUGUGAUCUUGAGUUUUUGUGGGUCACGUAAAGGCUGCUGGAGGUAAAGUAAGCCAGCUGGCCGCGCCUUUUGCUGUGGGCGGUCUGAGCCCUCAAUGAACCUUUAAUACAGCCUCGAUCAACCUCCCAUGGCUCCACCACCACCACCACCACCACCACCACCACCACCACUAAGACUUAAAACAAAUACAACAGCAGUAUCAAAGAAAACAACUGGGUCUAAAAUAUACAAAAACUCCCGAAUGUUGUCCCUGUAGUUACCAGUGACUUGAAAGUACGUAGUAGUGAAUAAAGUUAGGGAACGUCUGGCUCAUGUUUGUCGUAUGUAGCUACUUGUGUCUAGACAUUUAUAGGUAAACUUUGGAAUAGUGUUUCCUCCGUGCCCGAGCUGUCCAGUCCCCGCGUACCGGCACCGGGGACACUAAGUAAUGGCAGCACGAGCACGACCUAGGGUGCGUCUAGGGUACGUCAAGUCUGGCGGCGCGGUGUGGUGUAUUGUCACAGGACGCGUCAAGUAAGACACGGUUCAUUACAAAGGAACACGAGAAUUUUUAUCACUUUACCACUGCGUCCUUGUAGAACAGUAUCUUUAAAAGCUUCCUCGCCUUUUCUCGAGUUUUAAUGGGCUGUGGUGGAAAUUACUGGAGUUUUCAAGGGUGUUUUCAUGAAUUUAGUGAGUCGAAUUAGAGUUCUACAUCAGUGAGAAAAGAUGCCUAUGAGAAUGAGGGAAUUACAUUGUCAGAGAAAACAAUAUUGUAAGCACUCGAAUAAGGCCGAUCCUCAUUCUGUUAGCCUCUUUAUUCAUUGUAUA